RNAcentral lists this transfer RNA (69 nucleotides) under Microbispora rosea subsp. rosea. Its description in RNAcentral is "tRNA-OTHER". Lineage: Bacteria; Bacillati; Actinomycetota; Actinomycetes; Streptosporangiales; Streptosporangiaceae. The record is from RNAcentral.
AGGAACCAUAGUGCUCUUGAAAACCGCUAGGCCGGGUGACCGGUCUCGUGGGUUCGAAUCCCACGCUCU